Non-coding RNA from Tetraodon nigroviridis (spotted green pufferfish), 116 nucleotides. Lineage: Eukaryota; Metazoa; Chordata; Actinopteri; Tetraodontiformes; Tetraodontidae. The record is from Rfam.
UUUUUUUUCCUGUGACCCUGUCUUUCAUGAUUAUUGCUGGUUGAAAACUUAACCCAAUACCCCGCCUGGCUGACUUGGAAUAUAGUCUGCUGUGGCAAUUUUUGAUGGAAUCAAUG